RNAcentral lists this long non-coding RNA (331 nucleotides) under Bos taurus (domestic cattle). Its description in RNAcentral is "long non-coding RNA NONBTAT015758". Lineage: Eukaryota; Metazoa; Chordata; Mammalia; Artiodactyla; Bovidae. The record is from RNAcentral.
UAGGAGACUUGAUAUUUAAGCAGCUUGAAUGGUUUCUUUUCUUUUCUUUAUUUUUAAAGAAAUGCACUUGCCUAUGAUACUGUCUCUCCAGUGAAAUGAUUACUCCUCCAUUACUCUAUUGAUACAAUAUUGUGCAUGCUAGUGUUGUAUUUCUAUACAGUAGCUUGAAAUUUAUUAACUUAUACUGUAGGUGUUAUGUAUUCCUAUGACAAAAAAAAAUUAAGUCUUCCCAGUGUUAGCUUAAUCUUAAUGUCUGGUGUUUGUCAUGGUGAAAUUAUAACUAUUACAGUGUAGGAGAACACUGAAUAUGUUCUCUGAAUGAGCCUUUGUG